This 98-nucleotide small RNA is filed under the name Arabidopsis thaliana (thale cress). RNAcentral's name for it is "ATSL275680". The record is from RNAcentral. Lineage: Eukaryota; Viridiplantae; Streptophyta; Magnoliopsida; Brassicales; Brassicaceae.
AAAAGGAAUAGAAAAGCAGAUCGAAGAGAGAAACAGGAGAGAAACGUGAAGGAGAUGGCGGAAGAAAGAUAAAAAUUCCUAUCUCUAAAACCAAAAAU